Molecule: long non-coding RNA, 606 nt
Filed under: Nicotiana benthamiana
Lineage: Eukaryota; Viridiplantae; Streptophyta; Magnoliopsida; Solanales; Solanaceae
Description: long non-coding RNA (NBEN_LNC038164)
Source: RNAcentral
ACUCUUAGGUUGUCUUGAUUGAAGCUCUAUCGAAUAUGAUCUCUGGUUUUGUUCUCCUUAGAUUGUCCUCUAAUCUCUCUCUAAUUUAGAUUACUCUUUCUGUUGUCUUGAUUUCUUGAAUUUAAUCUAACCAGUUAGAUCACUUGCAUUUUUUCCUUCCAAUUUUCCUGCGCACAAAUUUGAAUUAGAUAAGUAGUUGCUCUUGUCAUCAUUAAAGCUCAAAGCGUAAGAAAAGCCACUAAGCCAGGGAUACAUAUUAACUGUACGAUCAUUUUACAAGGAUAGUGUAAUGUUGUGAAUGGCGUUUAAAAAUAAGUGCAAAAAUGUAUACAUAGUCAGAUCAGGCGGAUCUAGAAUUCAAAUUUUAUGGAUUCAACAUUUAAGAUUUUUAGUAUUGAAUCCAUUAUAUCCUAUAUAAUUAUAGGUUCAUAUUUAUAAUUUAUUGUGAUCAUAGUGAUUUUUUGCACAUAAAUUUAUGCUCCGCAUAAAAAAUUAUGGACUUAAUUGAACUCAGUGUUAUAGAGCAUCCGACAGAUUGCAACAAGAAUAUCUGUUUGUUGGGUCGUGGACAUAAAAUGAACGCGUAUAAAAUCUCUCUCUCUCUCU